Molecule: ribosomal RNA, 460 nt
Filed under: uncultured bacterium
Lineage: Bacteria
Description: partial 16S ribosomal RNA
Rfam family: Bacterial small subunit ribosomal RNA
Source: RNAcentral
CCUACGGGCGGCAGCAGUGGGGAAUUUUGGGCAAUGGACGAGAGUCUGAACCAGCGACGUAGCGUGAAUGAUGACUGCCCUAUGGGUUGUAAACUUCUUUUAUAAAGGAAUAAAACCAGGCAAGUGUGCCUGUAUGCAUGUACUGUAUGAGUAAGAAUCGGCUAACUCCGUUCCAGCAGCCGCGGUAAUACGGAGGGUCCGAGCGUUAUCCGGAUUUAUUGGGUUUAAAGGUAGCGUAGAUGGGUUGUUAAGUCAGUUGUGAAAGUUUGCGGCUCAACCGUAAAAUUGCAAGUGACACUGGCAGUCUUGAGUACAGAUGAGGUAGGCGGAAUUCGUGGUGUAGCGGUGAAAUGCUUAGAUAUCACGAAGAACCCCGAUUGCGAAGGCAGCUUACUAAACUGUGACUGACACUGAUGCUCGAAAGUGUGGGUAUCAAACAGGAUUAGAUACCCUGGUAGUC